This 587-nucleotide ribosomal RNA is filed under the name uncultured bacterium. RNAcentral describes it as "bacterial SSU rRNA". It matches the Rfam family "Bacterial small subunit ribosomal RNA", at positions 337 to 916 of the family's 1533-position model. The record is from RNAcentral.
UCCUACGGGAGGCAGCAGUGGGGAAUAUUGGACAAUGGGGGGAACCCUGAUCCAGCCAUGCCGCGUGUGUGAAGAAGGCCCUCGGGUUGUAAAGCACUUUCAGCGAGGAAGAACGCCUAGCGGUUAAUACCCGCUAGGAAAGACAUCACUCGCAGAAGAAGCACCGGCUAACUCCGUGCCAGCAGCCGCGGUAAUACAGAGGGUGCAAGCGUUAAUCGGAAUUACUGGGCGUAAAGCGCGCGUAGGUGGCUUGAUAAGCCGGUUGUGAAAGCCCCGGGCUCAACCUGGGAACGGCAUCCGGAACUGUCAAGCUAGAGUGCAGGAGAGGAAGGUAGAAUUCCCGGUGUAGCGGUGAAAUGCGUAGAGAUCGGGAGGAAUACCAGUGGCGAAGGCGGCCUUCUGGACUGACACUGAUACUGAGGUGCGAAAGCGUGGGUAGCAAACAGGAUUAGAUACCCUGGUAGUCCACGCCGUAAACGAUGUCGACCAGCCGUUGGGUGCCUAGCGCACUUUGUGGCGAAGUUAACGCGAUAAGUCGACCGCCUGGGGAGUACGGCCGCAAGGUUAAAACUCAAAUGAAUUGACGG